UUGAAAUCCUUAGGAUGUUGCUGGCCUUUCGGGGCAUGUGCACUCCGCCUUUUCAAUUCACCUGUGAACUCAUUGUAGGCCGGACUCUUUGUAGUCUGUGUCUAUGUUUUUAUACACCCUAUUAAAAAGUUUAACAGAAUGUCAUAUCAGACCUUUACCGGUCGAAAUAAAUUAAUA
This 177-nucleotide unclassified non-coding RNA is filed under the name uncultured Agaricales. RNAcentral describes it as "sequence contains ITS1". The record is from RNAcentral. Lineage: Eukaryota; Fungi; Basidiomycota; Agaricomycetes; Agaricales.